Long non-coding RNA from Anopheles stephensi (Asian malaria mosquito), 805 nucleotides. RefSeq lists it as uncharacterized. Lineage: Eukaryota; Metazoa; Arthropoda; Insecta; Diptera; Culicidae. The transcript is spliced from 4 exons. The record is from RefSeq and is a predicted model, not a curated record.
CACUCAACUAUCAUUUCUUGGGCUCACUGCGAUGGCAAUGCGUGAGGGCAAGCCUGGAUUAAGUCAACUCGAGGAGGGGUUUACUGGGCAAACAAUCGAUCGUAACUCUUGUAUCGAGUGAUUGUGAUCGAUGAAUCCCACAUUUAUCGUGGAUGGUUGGUUGAUCCAGGAGAAUAUGCAUUUGAGUUAUCAUCAACAAAAAUACGGAAUGGACGGGAUGGACGCUUAAGGCAACCAGAAUUAUUUGCAUGUUUAAGCAAAUGGAUGGAUUUGUAACUUAGAACUUAGCUUCCAGGAAAAGAAGUUCUUCUACACUUUCCACAGAGCGGAAUCGUCCCGGUUUGUUAGGCUGGCUAGUGUUAGCUAGUGGUUGCUUCUUGCCCAUGAAUUCUUCCAGCAAUCCGGCUAUAUAUUCUACUCUGCCACUGAGUUGCCGAGUUUCCUGUGUAAUUAUGUCCUGCCGGGCCAGAACGUUCGCAAGCAUUCGGCGCAUGGAUUGGAAUUCCUGCGCCGAACCCGUCGCGGAUGAUGAUACCGGCACAUUGUUGUUGCAGUCGGAAUUUUGCUUUGAAUCCAUCUAAAAUUGAAAAGAGCGUUGUUAGGGACAUUUUAACUUUCCACUGUGUUAUUUAAAACAGUUUUUUCUUACCUUUUUGCGAAAAUAAUCUAAACACUCGUCACAAGACUAUCCUGAACCAGAACUAAAGCAAAAUGAAAUGUUCACCAUUCUUCGAAUUUGAAUUUUGACAGAAGAAUAAAUGUAUGCUCAAAAUCGACAAUACGGCGUCAUGCCGUAAUACUGCAA